RNAcentral lists this ribosomal RNA (1873 nucleotides) under Escherichia coli. RNAcentral's name for it is "bacterial LSU rRNA". It matches the Rfam family "Bacterial large subunit ribosomal RNA", at positions 1 to 1890 of the family's 2925-position model. The record is from RNAcentral. Lineage: Bacteria; Pseudomonadati; Pseudomonadota; Gammaproteobacteria; Enterobacterales; Enterobacteriaceae.
GGGUUGUGAGGUUAAGCGACUAAGCGUACACGGUGGAUGCCCUGGCAGUCAGAGGCGAUGAAGGACGUGCUAAUCUGCGAUAAGCGUCGGUAAGGUGAUAUGAACCGUUAUAACCGGCGAUUUCCGAAUGGGGAAACCCAGUGUGUUUCGACACACUAUCAUUAACUGAAUCCAUAGGUUAAUGAGGCGAACCGGGGGAACUGAAACAUCUAAGUACCCCGAGGAAAAGAAAUCAACCGAGAUUCCCCCAGUAGCGGCGAGCGAACGGGGAGCAGCCCAGAGCCUGAAUCAGUGUGUGUGUUAGUGGAAGCGUCUGGAAAGGCGCGCGAUACAGGGUGACAGCCCCGUACACAAAAAUGCACAUGCUGUGAGCUCGAUGAGUAGGGCGGGACACGUGGUAUCCUGUCUGAAUAUGGGGGGACCAUCCUCCAAGGCUAAAUACUCCUGACUGACCGAUAGUGAACCAGUACCGUGAGGGAAAGGCGAAAAGAACCCCGGCGAGGGGAGUGAAAAAGAACCUGAAACCGUGUACGUACAAGCAGUGGGAGCACGCUUCGGCGUGUGACUGCGUACCUUUUGUAUAAUGGGUCAGCGACUUAUAUUCUGUAGCAAGGUUAACCGAAUAGGGGAGCCGAAGGGAAACCGAGUCUUAACUGGGCGUUAAGUUGCAGGGUAUAGACCCGAAACCCGGUGAUCUAGCCAUGGGCAGGUUGAAGGUUGGGUAACACUAACUGGAGGACCGAACCGACUAAUGUUGAAAAAUUAGCGGAUGACUUGUGGCUGGGGGUGAAAGGCCAAUCAAACCGGGAGAUAGCUGGUUCUCCCCGAAAGCUAUUUAGGUAGCGCCUCGUGAAUUCAUCUCCGGGGGUAGAGCACUGUUUCGGCAAGGGGGUCAUCCCGACUUACCAACCCGAUGCAAACUGCGAAUACCGGAGAAUGUUAUCACGGGAGACACACGGCGGGUGCUAACGUCCGUCGUGAAGAGGGAAACAACCCAGACCGCCAGCUAAGGUCCCAAAGUCAUGGUUAAGUGGGAAACGAUGUGGGAAGGCCCAGACAGCCAGGAUGUUGGCUUAGAAGCAGCCAUCAUUUAAAGAAAGCGUAAUAGCUCACUGGUCGAGUCGGCCUGCGCGGAAGAUGUAACGGGGCUAAACCAUGCACCGAAGCUGCGGCAGCGACGCUGAUGCGUUGUUGGGUAGGGGAGCGUUCUGUAAGCCUGCGAAGGUGUGCUGUGAGGCAUGCUGGAGGUAUCAGAAGUGCGAAUGCUGACAUAAGUAACGAUAAAGCGGGUGAAAAGCCCGCUCGCCGGAAGACCAAGGGUUCCUGUCCAACGUUAAUCGGGGCAGGGUGAGUCGACCCCUAAGGCGAGGCCGAAAGGCGUAGUCGAUGGGAAACAGGUUAAUAUUCCUGUACUUGGUGUUACUGCGAAGGGGGGACGGAGAAGGCUAUGUUGGCCGGGCGACGGUUGUCCCGGUUUAAGCGUGUAGGCUGGUUUUCCAGGCAAAUCCGGAAAAUCAAGGCUGAGGCGUGAUGACGAGGCACUACGGUGCUGAAGCAACAAAUGCCCUGCUUCCAGGAAAAGCCUCUAAGCAUCAGGUAACAUCAAAUCGUACCCCAAACCGACACAGGUGGUCAGGUAGAGAAUACCAAGGCGCUUGAGAGAACUCGGGUGAAGGAACUAGGCAAAAUGGUGCCGUAACUUCGGGAGAAGGCACGCUGAUAUGUAGGUGAAGUCCCUCGCGGAUGGAGCUGAAAUCAGUCGAAGAUACCAGCUGGCUGCAACUGUUUAUUAAAAACACAGCACUGUGCAAACACGAAAGUGGACGUAUACGGUGUGACGCCUGCCCGGUGCCGGAAGGUUAAUUGAUGGGGU